GUGGGGAAUAUUGGACAAUGGGGGCAACCCUGAUCCAGCAAUGCCGCGUGAGUGAUGAAGGCCUUAGGGUUGUAAAGCUCUUUUACCGGGGACGAUGAUGACGGUACCCGGAGAAUAAGCCCCGGCUAACUUCGUGCCAGCAGCCGCGGUAAUACGAAGGGGGCGAGCGUUGUUCGGAGUUACUGGGCGUAAAGGGCGCGUAGGCGGCGGACCAAGUUAGGCGUGAAAGCCCCGGGCUCAACCUGGGAAUAGCGCUUAAGACUGGUUUGCUUGAGUGCGGGAGAGGUGAGUGGAAUUCCCAGUGUAGAGGUGAAAUUCGUAGAUAUUGGGAAGAACACCAGUGGCGAAGGCGGCUCACUGGCCCGCAACUGACGCUGAGGCGCGAAAGCGUGGGGAGCAAACAGGAUUAGAAACCCCUGUAGUCC
Molecule: ribosomal RNA, 425 nt
Filed under: uncultured bacterium
Lineage: Bacteria
Description: bacterial SSU rRNA
Rfam family: Bacterial small subunit ribosomal RNA
Source: RNAcentral